AUUGAACGCUGGCGGCAGGCCUAACACAUGCAAGUCGAACGAGUGGCGGACGGGUGAGUAAUGUAUGGGCAACUGCCUGAUGGAGGGGGCUAACUACUGGAAACGGUAGCUAAUACCGCAUACCAUCAGAUGUGCCAAGGUGGGAUUAGCUAGUUGGUGGGGUAACGGCUCACCAAGGCUACGAGCCCGAGCUGGUCUGAGAGGCUGACCAGCCACACUGGAACUGAGACCCGGUCCAGACUCCUACGGGAGUCAGCAGUGGGGAAUAUUGCACAAUGGGCGCAAGCCUGAUGCAGCCAUGCCGCGUGUAUGAAGAAGGCUUUCGGGUUGUAAAGUACUUUCGGUGGAGAGGCGGUACCCGCAGAAGAAGCACCGGCUAACUCCGUGCCAGCAGCCGCGGUAAUAC
This 406-nucleotide ribosomal RNA is filed under the name uncultured bacterium. RNAcentral's name for it is "partial 16S ribosomal RNA". It matches the Rfam family "Bacterial small subunit ribosomal RNA", at positions 30 to 526 of the family's 1533-position model. The record is from RNAcentral.